AGCAGCCGCGGUAAUUCCAGCUCCAAUAGCGUAUAUUAAAGUUGUUGCAGUUAAAAAGCUCGUAGUUGAAUUUCGGGAUCAUCAGGUUGGUCGUGCCUCUGGUAUGUACUGAUCUCGACGGUUCCUCCUUCUUGAAGAACCGUAAUGCCAUUAAUUUGGUGUUGCGGGGAAACAGGACUGUUACUUUGAAAAAAUUAGAGUGUUUAAAGCAGGCAAUCGCUUGAAUACAUUAGCAUGGAAUAAUGAAAUAGGACGUUCGAUCCUAUUUUGUUGGUUUCUAGGAUUGACGUAAUGAUUAAUAGGGAUAGUUGGGGGCAUUAGUAUUCAAUUGUCAGAGGUGAAAUUCUUGGAUUUAUUGAAGACUAACUACUGCGAAAGCAUUUGCCAAGGAUGUUUUCAUUAAUCAAGAACGAAAGUUAGGGGAUCGAAGACGAUCAGAUACCGUCGUAGUCUUAACCAUAAACUAUGCCGACUAGGGAUCGGAUGAUGUUAAUUUUUAAUGUA
RNAcentral lists this ribosomal RNA (504 nucleotides) under uncultured Glomus. Its description in RNAcentral is "SSU rRNA". It matches the Rfam family "Eukaryotic small subunit ribosomal RNA", at positions 569 to 1078 of the family's 1831-position model. Lineage: Eukaryota; Fungi; Glomeromycota; Glomeromycetes; Glomerales; Glomeraceae. The record is from RNAcentral.